Molecule: non-coding RNA, 72 nt
Organism: PVC group bacterium
Lineage: Bacteria; Pseudomonadati
Source: Rfam
UAACAUCUAGCUCAAUGGUAGAGCACUCCUCUUACACGGGAGACGUUAUCAGUUCAAAUCUGAUGGUGUUAA